Molecule: long non-coding RNA, 101 nt
Organism: Gopherus evgoodei (Goodes thornscrub tortoise)
Lineage: Eukaryota; Metazoa; Chordata; Testudines; Testudinidae
Exons: 3
Source: RefSeq, a predicted model, not a curated record
AAAAUUAUAUAGAGAUACAAGAUGGGUGAGGUAAUAUCUUUUAUUGGACCAACUUGUGCUGGUAAUAGAUACAAGAUUAUGAGCUACAUAGAGCUUUUCUU